GCUAGGUGCAGUGGUGCACACCUGUAAUUCCAGCUACCUGGAGGCUGAGGCAGGAGGAUCACAAGUUUGAGGCCAGCUUCAGCAACUUAACAAGACCCUGUCACAA
Molecule: small RNA, 106 nt
Filed under: Marmota monax (woodchuck)
Lineage: Eukaryota; Metazoa; Chordata; Mammalia; Rodentia; Sciuridae
Source: RNAcentral